AGACGGAGGGUGCAAGCGUUAAUCGGAAUUACUGGGCGUAAAGCUCUCGUAGGCGGCUUGUUAAGUCGGAUGUGAAAGCCCCGGGCUCAACCUGGGAAUUGCAUUCGAUACUGCAGGACUAGAGUAUGGUAGAGGAAAGCGGAAUUCCCGGUGUAGCGGUGAAAUGCGUAGAUAUCGGAAGGAACACCAGUGGCGAAGGCGACUUCCUGGGCCAAUACUGACGCUGAGGUGCGAAAGCGUGGGGAGCGAACGGGAUUAGAAACCCCGGUAGUCC
RNAcentral lists this ribosomal RNA (274 nucleotides) under uncultured bacterium. Its description in RNAcentral is "partial 16S ribosomal RNA". It matches the Rfam family "Bacterial small subunit ribosomal RNA", at positions 523 to 796 of the family's 1533-position model. The record is from RNAcentral.